Molecule: long non-coding RNA, 1768 nt
Organism: Arachis duranensis
Lineage: Eukaryota; Viridiplantae; Streptophyta; Magnoliopsida; Fabales; Fabaceae
Exons: 2
Source: RefSeq, a predicted model, not a curated record
GUAUUAUGUAUGGGCUGAAUUUAUUAUGAAAACAAUUUUAUUUAGGUAAGGAAAGAAUUAUACUAUUUUGAAUUUGAACUACCAAGGUUUAUGUUCAAGUUUGAAUUAUUUAUAAAAGAGGUUAUGUUUUGAGAGUUAUUCAAUAUGAAGAGAGUUAUGCUUGGGGUUUGAAAUAAAGGAUUACUUUUUAGAAGGUUAAUGAAUAUAUAUAAUAUUUGAAUUUGAAUGGUAAAGAGAGACGGUUUUUGAGUCUUUGGGAAGUUAGUAAACUUGAAAAAGAGUUUUAUAUGGUUACUUUUAGUAAGAGGGUGAUGUUUUGAAAAGUAUUUAGCGAAUUUAAAAUAAAUGAUUUUUUUUGAGUCUUUUGAAAGAAAAUUAAACUAGAAAAUGAUUUUAAAAUUGGGUUGAGUUAAGAGGUUGCAAAAGUGGAAGUCAUAAGGUUUGUACAGCAUGAUUGAAUAAAGAAAGAGAAAGAUAUUGUAUAAGAAUAUGUAACUAGAGAUGAAUAAUAAGAAUGAUAACUUAUGAUGAUAAUUACACUGAUUCUUUUGAGGAAAGGUAUUCAGUUUAUGGAAUGGUUGGCAAGGACGUGGGUUUUGUCCCGCUUGCAUAUUUAUGAUUAUAAAAGAGAAUAAAAAGCAGAGCACCUGUUGAAAGGUCAUUUGUUGCUUGAGGCAACCCAAGAGAUAUUGAUUUGUUGCUUGAGGCAACUCCUGAGAUGUUUAUGUGAUGAUCUGCUGCGUGAAGGCAGUCAGAUAGAUGGUGGUACGACCACUGAGAACGCUUUCCUGGGAUACCUUGCUAUAAUGCUUUGCUGUAAGACAGAGGUUGCUUACAGAGGUAUCAAGAUUAGAGUGCUCCUGUAAGACAGAGGUUGCUUACAGUGAGUGUGUUGUUGCACCUGUAAGACAAAGGUUGCUUACAGUGUGUUGGGCGUAUAUUGGCUAAUAAGUGCCGCCCUGCAAGACAAAGGUUGCUUGCAGUGGAUACCCUGCAAGACAAAGGUUGCUCGCAGUGGUUAUUGCCAACAGGAAAGCCUUAUCCAGACAAAGGUUGCUGGGUAACGUCGGGAGCGGGUAUGUAACCGACAAAUGAGCUCAUUACCUGCACUAGGGAUAGACAUGCAUCAUCCUCGUGUGUGCAUUUGCAUUUGAUUGUGUUUGCUCUUUGUACUUCUCUGUGAUUGUGCUGUUUGCCUUGUUGUGACUUGUUUGUGUGCUGAAUUGAAUCUUUUGUUAGUGCUAUUAGUUAGUGAAUGUAUGAUGAUGAUUAAGAAUUGAUGUUGUGAUUGAAAAUUAUCUAUGAGGUUGAAAAAUGCUUAAAGUGACCAGUUUUAUAUUUUGGAAUUUGUUUUGAGCUUAGAUUUUUUAAAUAGGUAAAUAAUUAGUAAAGUAAAACCAAAAGAGUAGUAUUUCCAAAAAGAGUUUGACAAAACUAUAGUUUCCUUGAGUACAUUAAUUAUUUGCAUUCUAUUUCAUUACUUUUAUGGCAUUCCCAUUCCCUACUGAGAACGUGUGGUUUGUUCUCACCCCAAAAUCUUCCACCCUUUCAGUGACACAGGUUUGAAGACCCAGUUUGAAGCUGCGGGAGAUUAUAGAUCUUAUUUAUGAGUUAAGUUUAUGACUCGAGUUAUUUUCAUAAAAUUUCCCUCGCCCUUGUUACUUUAAUUUUUAUUUUAUAAAGAGGGAUAGGAUUUGUAUGUGAGUUUUAUUUGAAAUCUUUUGUAUGACAGAUAUUAUUAUUAAUAAUUAUGUGAUUAUUAUUACUU